CAUUAUGGUAUCAAUUAAAUGUAGUGUGCUUUUAGCUGUUACACUUUUAUUUUAAAUACAAGUAGGUGAUAUUUUAAAUAAUUAUACUGUCACAUGACGAAGAAUAUAACAAUUUGAGUGGAAUUAUCAUUGUAGGAAGUGUUUUGAAUAGUAAUGAAAGUGAUGAAUGUGUAAAUGUGCAAACUAAUUCUAAUACAUUUUUCUCAUAUUCCGAGUAUGGAACAUAUAAUCUAUUAUGAGCUUGCUGCAUUGAAAUAAUGAUGGUCAUUUUAUUUUGACUGAUGCAAAAUUAAAACAUGAACAUUUAUCGGAUGAUGCUCAAAACAUACUUAUGAAACUUUUAAUAAAUUAUUUAUUUCAAGACAAAGCUCAGGAAACUGAUUUUUAUUUUUGGAAAAUUUCUUCAAUUAUUGAAAUAUUUUCAAAUGAACAAGAGGUAGG
Molecule: long non-coding RNA, 441 nt
Organism: Daktulosphaira vitifoliae (grape phylloxera)
Lineage: Eukaryota; Metazoa; Arthropoda; Insecta; Hemiptera; Phylloxeridae
Exons: 3
Source: RefSeq, a predicted model, not a curated record